GACGAACGCUGGCGGCGUGCUUAACACAUGCAAGUCGAACGGUAAGGCCCCAGCUUGCUGGGGUACACGAGUGGCGAACGGGUGAGUAACACGUGGGUGACCUGCCCUGCACUUCGGGAUAAGCCUGGGAAACUGGGUCUAAUACCGGAUAGGACCUUGAUGUGGAUACUGUGGUGGAAAGUUUUUUCGGUGUGGGAUGGGCCCGCGGCCUAUCAGCUUGUUGGUGGGGUAAUGGCCUACCAAGGCGGCGACGGGUAGCCGGCCUGAGAGGGUGGACGGCCACAUUGGGACUGAGACACGGCCCAGACUCCUACGGGAGGCAGCAGUGGGGAAUAUUGCACAAUGGGCGGAAGCCUGAUGCAGCGACGCCGCGUGCGGGAUGACGGCCUUCGGGUUGUAAACUCCUUUCGCCAUCGACGAAGGGUUUCUGACGGUAGAUGGAGAAGAAGCACCGGCUAACUACGUG
Molecule: ribosomal RNA, 466 nt
Filed under: uncultured bacterium
Lineage: Bacteria
Description: partial 16S ribosomal RNA
Rfam family: Bacterial small subunit ribosomal RNA
Source: RNAcentral